Molecule: non-coding RNA, 1000 nt
Organism: Plutella xylostella (diamondback moth)
Lineage: Eukaryota; Metazoa; Arthropoda; Insecta; Lepidoptera; Plutellidae
Source: RefSeq, a predicted model, not a curated record
GCAUAGGCACGUUGAAAUGAAAUCUCAUCAUAAAAAUUGCCAUGCGUAAAAAAUCAAUAUCUACCAUUAAUUUUAUCGCAUUUUAUGAUUAUAAAAGCAGUUCUUUACGAAUCAUUGGGUUUUAUUUUUAUUGAUAAAUAGGUACGAGAAUUUUAUCGAUAUUAUAAUAAAUAAAUGAAAAUUUCAAUAAACCAAUUUAUUCCAACAACUUAUUUUGUGGGAUUUAAAAUCGAUAUUAAUCUUAUCAAGUAUCGAGGAACGACUUUUUUAUUCAACGUUGAAGAAAAAAACCAUGUAUGUGUGUAAGUCUUGUCACUUUUGACAGUUACUAUUUUCUUUUUUCUGUUGAAAACUUUAGCCGAAAUUGUCUGAACUGUUUGAACUGAAAAAGUCUCAAGAAGUUUCUUUUAAGUAUCCAAAGAACUCCCAGCGCAGAGGCUGAAGCCAAAGGAGACAUGAUGGUUUUGCAGUGCGAGCAGAUACAAUGCGAUAGCAAGAAGGCGGACACCAUGGAAAUGGUAGCUGCAGCAAGAAAUACACAAACUGCUGUAAAUUAGGCCCACAAUGCCAGAUGAAUGGCAUUCAUAGAAGCAGGACUUGAGUUGUGGAAAAAUGUAGAUAGUAUUCCUAAUCGUAAUUCAUUAAUGAAUCCUACUUAAUAUAACAAAAACAUGUCUUUAAAUGCAUCAACAUGGUACCUAAGUUAUAUACUUUUUUCUAGGCUCUUGAGAAAAAGGAGGAAUAGUUCUAAUUAUGUAAUAACUUGAUUGUUACUGAAUGAUUAUGAGAAUACUCAAAGACUUAUAUGGGAAAUAAGGCUUUUAUCAUUAAUAUUAUUAGUUUUAUUAAAGCUUUGUUGUUUUCCAAGAUGAUUUAGUCAGCAGUGGAUAUCUGACUUUAGAGAACAUAUACUUAGGUAAUUUGGUUAUUCUAGGAAAGAGACUUAAAUAAACAAACUGUGAUUAAUUUGUUGUUUAAAUAAAUAUAAAGUGAAUGUGUA